Molecule: long non-coding RNA, 7031 nt
Organism: Equus caballus (horse)
Lineage: Eukaryota; Metazoa; Chordata; Mammalia; Perissodactyla; Equidae
Source: Ensembl
CAGAGAUGGGGGACCCGGGCACUCCAGGGACUGCACAGCCAGGUCCCUCACCCGUGCGCGGGGCUCCGUGCCAAGCCUAGUGGAUUCGGGGUCUACGUCGGGUGGUGUCCCGCGGCGUCCCUGAGUCACGCCUCCACGUGCAGACGCCGGGCUGGGUGUGGUAGGGGUGCCAGACCUACAGGCUCGAUAAGCGCAGGAUCUGUCUUCCAAGUUAAUGCAGGCAUCGUCUUUCUCAAGUGUUUUGCACACCAUAAGGAGUGACUAGCUUUCUUCCCUGCAACAUCUGUUUCCUCACCACCCACUGCCUGACCACGGAGACAGUGUCACUUAUGUUCUGUCACAGCAGCACCCCACUUCCAGAGUUCAAAGAAGCUGGUGUCUUUUUCCUUUAUUAUCCACGUUCUUCUUGAGCACAGAGAGUGGAAAAAUGGGUUUCGAGAGGUGGCUGCGUGCCCCAGUUCGGCCGACAGCAGAGCCGGCCCGGCCUGUGCUUCCUGUGCAUUACAUCCUGGAAGUCACAGCACGGCAGCCACAGAGCUCUUCUUCCUUCCCAUCACAGCUGCAUAGUGCUGCAUUGCCUGGAUGCUCCGUCUUUAUCCAGCCACUGUCCUACAGAUGGGCAUUUGGGUUGUUUCCAAUAUUUUGCAGUUUAACCAAUGCUGCAGUAACAUAAAACCUCUAGGACAGUGGGUGAACAGAAAUGGACAGUGGGCAUCUUUGCCUUGUUCCUGAUCCUAGUGGAAAUGCUACUAGUCCUUCCCCAUUGAAUAAGACACUGGCUUUAGGAUUAAAUUUCUAUGAAGAUCCUGUUAUCUUUUCCUUUGGUUUGUUAAUAUGGUAAAUGACACUGGUGGAUAUCCUGAUACUGAAUCCAUCUUUCAUUUCUCGAAAACAUCCUACUUGGUCAUGGUAUGUAGUUUUCUUAAUGUGGUGUUGGAUCCUGUUUAGUAUUUAAUUUAAUAUUUUUGCAUUGAUAUUCAUGAGUGGUACUGGUCUGUAGUUUUCUUUCUUUGUUGUCUUUAUCUGGUUUAUCAGUGUUAUAUUUUGCUCUGUAAAAGGAGUUGGGAUAUUUUCUGUAGUUCUCGGGGCUCUGGGAUAAUUUGUGUAGAGCAUUGGAACUGUCUGGUAGGUUCAGUAGAAUUCGCCUGUGAAGCCAUCUGGUCCUGGUGCUUCUUGUGGGGUCCUUGUUUAAGAAUCCUCUCUGGGUCUCCUAUGGAAUUCAUCUGCCUAAGAUUUGCAACUCUAAUAGGGUCAGUUUUGGUCAUCUGAAUUUCCUUAGGAAGUUACCCAUUUCAUCUUCCUUUUCAAAUUCAUUUGCAUAGAGGUCUGCAAAGUAGUCUCUUAGGAUUUUUAAAAUUUCUUCCAUUUCAUUGGUUAUUUCCCCCGUGCCAUUUCUUACUCUCUAUGUUUGUGCUUUCUUGCUUUUGUCUUGAUCAACUUAGCUGGUGGUUUGUCUAUUUGGUUAAUUUCCCCCUCAAAAGAACCCAGGAUUUUGAUUUAUUAGUUAGAUCUACUGGUUUUCAACAGAAAAACCUCUCCCUCAUAAAUCAGCUUUUCCAUCCCUGUUUCCUUCCUCAUGUUUUCUUUUGGAUUACUGUUGUUCUUUUUCUUGUUUUCAUGCACUGACAUUUAUUAAUUUAUUAAUUUUAUUCUUUCAUUUUUAUUUGUAAAAGUGUUAGUCUAAUGAGUUGUUCUCUGAUUACUGCUUUAAAUGCAUUCCAUAGAUUCUGAUAUGCAGUGUUUUUUUUGUAAUUAUUUUUUUAAAAUUCUGUACUUUCAGAUUGUAUUUCCUCUUUCACCUGAGAGUCAAUAGUAGAAUUUUUAAACAUCCAGGUGGGGAUGCCUUUCUGUUUUUUGUUUUUAUUAAUAAUGUAUAGUUUUAUUGCAUUGUGAUCGGAAAGUGGUGUUUUCAAUAUUUCUACCUUAUGGAAAUUAUUGUGUUUUCUUUGUGACCUAAUAUAUGAUCAGUUGUUGUGAACGUGCUUUAGGUUCUUGAGAAGAAUGUGUAUUCCCUGUUAUCAGGGUUUGGAGUUCAAUAUAUAUACACAGAUCUACCUUGAUUGAUGACGUUGUUUAGAUCUUCCAUCUCCUUACUUAUUUUUUGCACACGUGCUCUGCCUUGCACUGAGAGUGGUGUAGUAAAUCUCCUAUUGGUAUUAUGUUUCUAACUAUCUCCUUGCAUCUCCUGUAGUGUUUGAUUCAUAGAAGUAGUGGUUGUAUUAUUUGGUGCAUAGAGGUUCACACACAUCAUGUCUUCAUUGUGGUCUGUGGCUUUUAGCAUUAAAUAUGUCCUCUGUUGUGUUUAAUGCUUUGGGGCUUGAAUUCAAUUUGGUCUACUCCUGCCAUCUUUUGUUUUCAUUGGCCAGGUAUAACUUUCUCCAUCCUUUUAAUUUUCAGCCUUUCAGAAUUACUUUUUUAGGAGUGCCUCUUAUAUACAGCAUAUAGUUGGGUCUUGUUUUGUGAGUCAAAUUAAAACCCUUUUUGUUUUAAUAGAUGAGUUAAACCCAUUAAUAUUUAUUCACAGGGCUGAUCUGUUUGCUUGCAACUCUAUCAUAAUUUGUAAUUAUGUGUAUUUUGUUAUAUUUGUGGUUUCCUUCUCUGUGAGAUCUGUAUUCUUUGAUCUUUUAUUGAGAUUUUUAAAUUUGGGUGUAAAAGGACGUGUAUUUUCUAGUGAUUGCUUUUGUAUUUAAACCUAUUUUAAUGUCCUUAGGAACCUGUUGUAUUAUUUAACUCUGUACUGUCUCAUUUAUCAGUUUUUUCUGGUACUGCUUAACACGCAUCUGUUGCUUACACAGUAUUGUCAUAUACAUAAUCAGAAUUUUUCCUCUUUCCCUCCUUCAUUUCCCAUUUCUGCUUUGUUGCAGUACAUAAUAUUUGCAUAUUAGUCUUUCAGCCUAAUCCCACUUUUAUUUUAGUCCUAGAUGUAUAUCUAAAUACUUUUAAAUGCUUACCGUACAUCCUUUUGCUGGAAUUUUCCCAGUCAUCACUUGGUUAGAUAAAACUUACCCUCACACAGAGUCCUCCAGAAGGGCUGAUGGAUGUGGUGUUCUCUAAGCUUGUGUAUUUUGGGAACUGUUUUUCUAUAGCCUUGAUGUUUGAAGGACAGCUUGUGGAUUUAAAAUUCUUGGUUCAUACUUUCUUUCACUGAGUUUUAACAAUGUUGGUCCGUUGUUGUCUUACUUACUGUUGGUUUUGAAAAGCCUGAUGCCAGCCCAGUUCUUUGCACGUUCAUUGAUCUCUUUGCCCAGGGGCCUUGAGGAUUUAUCUGUGAAAUCUGAGCAUUUAAUCAGGAUGUGACUCAGAGUCUGUCACUCUGGGUUAAUUUUCCCAGGCACGUGUGAGCCCUCUCAUUUCCAGAUUCAAUUCUUUUCCUGUCUCUGGAAGUUUUCUUGGAUGAUAGUUCUAAGUAUCAGCUUUGUUCUGUUGUUGUGUUUUCCCUUCCAGGAGCUCUGGUUUGUGAACACCAUUCCUUCUUUGUCUCCCAUUCCCGCUGCUUUCAUUUUACCCUUUUACUUCUUUCUUUAUGUCGUUUUCCUCCUGUUGGUCGUGUUCCUGUCUUUCCUCAGUGCCCUUUAUUAAUCUUCAUUUGAACUUACUUUGCUCAGGCGCUUUGUAAUGUACUCCUCAUUUCUGCAAUGAUUUUGACUUUUCCUUCCAUCACUUUCCGGAGCUCAUUCAACUCUCUUCCUUUCUCCCUGUUUUCUCCCUUUCUGUCUUUAAUUUUGCAUUUCUAGUUCAAGGUGGUUUUUCGAAUCCUCAGAUGUUUGUUUGAAUAUGUUUACUUGUGUUGCUGGAGUGUUGGAUUAGAAUUUUCUUUGCUUCAUGGUUGUUUUCCAGGAGGACAUUUCUGUGGUGUGGGGGUGUUUCUACAAGGUUGCUAGCCCAGGCACCUCUGGCAUCAGCUGGCCAAGUCCAGGCGCUGCACGCUUGUUUGUUUUGAUGACUGACGGGGGAGGGGUGCAUCUCCUGGUAUUAUGGUCCUCUUUUCUUGUAGUGCCCUAAACUUUCCCUUUUUCUUCUUUCUAUCUUCACGACCCAGUUGCCAAAGGGCACUUCUCCCUUCCUCUUUUGCUUUUUUUCUUUGCCAGAAGCUAUGGGCUUUGAAGGAUGCCUCUUUAAAUGGCGUCUGUCUGUUUAAACUGUGUGGACUCUGGGAUCCCUUCCCUGAGUCCAGGCUCUGUCCACCCAGGUGCUUUCAGAGCUUUUCUGGGGGCAUGCAGGUCACGCUCACCCCGUGCUCGUCUCCCUCUUCUGCCCUCGCUCACCAGAGCCCACGUUGUGGGUGUGGGCCGGCAGCACGAGGGGACCCCACAGUGGGAUCUGGUGGCUUUUCUCUUUUCACUAGUGUUGUUUUCAGAUUUUGGCGUUUUCUCUCCUUAGGUUAUGCCAAGGGUGUGGUCUGAUGUGGAAUUUACUCUCCCUUUUGUGUACUCAUACCAUUUGGGAAGAACUGCAGGGAAGUAACUGAGCUACACGAUUGCCCGCGUCUUCAGCCGCUUGGAGAUCAAGCACUUCUCCCAGGAGACCGUUCUGCCUGGUUUAAGGGGCUCAGAGUUUGACAUUUUUCAUUUUAAUCUUUAAGUAUCUGUUUUAAGACAUGUUAGAGAACAGUAAAACUAGCAGUCUAAACCCAUGAUACAAAGUGUCUGCAUUGAAUAAAUCCAUUACAUUUUUAAAAAGUCAACUUAGAAAAUAUUAAAUAAAUAAUAGUACAGAUAAUAAACAAGUUUGGCGCAAAUAUGAUAGUUUGCAAGUGACUGAAGUUGUGGAGCCGCUGUUGUAACUGGAAGUGUUUCCCGCGUCGGGCGGGAGCUGUCCAGCUGCCGGGGCUGUGGGCUGACCAGGGAGCCAGAGGAGUGUGGCUGUGGGCAGAGGACGACUCCAUGGCCAUUUGCAAAGGUCGUCCCACCUCUCCAACCUCUGUGGCAGUGAAAACAUUGUUAUCCCGCAAAAUACACAAAGCCUUAGGACUUGGAGAGUGAAUAAUUUUUCCUUUAGCGUUAGAAGAUUGCUUUGGUGAUUUAUCUUCUUUAGUUCAUGGAAAAGCAGAAACCAAAUGCUAACUUUCCCAAAGGUUAUCUGUUAGGGACGUUGUGUGCAACUUUUGAAAUAAAUAACCUGAAUUUGCUCUUCAGUGUCACUAAGAGGAAGGAUUAUUCACAUGUGAAUUAUUCAUAUUGUAUUAAGAAAGUAUGUAACGUAACACUGGGCAACAUAUGUUGAAGCAUAUAACUAGCUUCUUGAACAAAAUUUAUGGGGUUUGUACAUUUUCAAUAUCAGUAAACCAGUCACAAUAGUUUAUUGCAGAAGUUUUGGCCAAAACUGUUAAAAUGACUAUUUAUAAAGCUAAGUAAAUAUCAGACAAUGCCAGAAAUAAUGAGGUUAAAUGUAAUUGAUGGUUGUUAUUCCUGAAAGAUGAAGUUUACAGUCCUCUCCUCAAACACCCUAUAAACUUUCCCAGCUCCACAGGGUCUGUAUUGGCAGCUGAAGUUUUCAGAAUUCAAUUCAAUUUGAGUGUUGUGUGCUUUAUGAGGCCAUCUCAGGGAAAUUUUCUUGUUGCAGAAACGGGCAUGCAGAAGACUAGAUGCAGCUGUGCAGGAGUGGGGCUGCGCCCAGGUGAGGGCCAGCACCCUGGGCUCCUGGAGUGUCGAGGAGCUGGAGUUGAAGCACAGAGGCUGCCCCCUUGCGGCAAGGCCAGAGAGCGACCAGGCGCGGCCCGACGCGGGGAUUCCUCAGAAUGGUGGAGGGAGCUUGGCCCAGCCUUGCCCGAGAUGUAUUGCGGGAGAAUCUGGACAUUUUAACCAUACUGAGAAUCGUUAGAAGAUACGAGUUGGGAAAGGAAGAUUCCGAUUCUGGUUUUGAACCUGGCCUGUGACAGCGAAUAUCGGUCUCAUGGAUGGAUGUGGGCACCACCUGUUCAAACAGCAGCCCGCCGUCCCCUCAGUCAGGUACCCGGCCAUCCGCACAGAGCCGGAGGGGCCCUCGCCGCGCGGGAGCCGGCACACCCUCAGUGCUCGCCGCUCCUGCCUUCAGACGGAUCUCGCUCUAGAAGGAGAUCAGCUGCAUUAUUUACAAGUUGAAAAGACUCAGUGUCGAGCUUCCUGUGAGGUUGAGGACCCCGUGGCCUCUGGAACCGUGUCCAGACACAGCCCUGCUUUUACACUGUUCAGUUGUUCCGUGGAGCAUCCAGGGCUGCUUCUCUACUCUCUUUAAUUAAAAGACUUAUUUUUAUAUUUAAAAUGCUUAUAAUCUUAAACUGAAUUUUACUAAAUGCUGGUAUCCUAUCUGUUCUGUGUAAUUCUCCAGCUGAAGUUAUCAGACAUGGGACCCCUUUUAUAUUAAAAUGGAGAUUUCUCAUUUUCUCUUGGGUUUCCAGUGUCUCGUCUGACUGGCGACUGGUGUCAUUUCCCUUGGUCUCAAGGCUUCCUGAGAUGUCCUGUGCACAGGAUAGACAAGGUCCCAGUGAAGCCUCUGGGUUGCUCUCAGGCUCUUUACCCUUCAAACCAGAGGCAGGCCGAAGGGCCUGUGCUCUGUGUUCACUGUGUCGUCCACGUGGCCAUGUUCUCUCCCUCAGCGUUGGCACUCUGCAGAGCCCAGGCCUUAAGCAAUCACGGUAUGUGGUUGUGGAGGGCAUUUCAUGUUGGAAAGGUGGAGGGACGGGACAGAACACAGGUGUGGCAAGGACACAAGUACAGUACCCUUAGUGCUCUGGGUUAUCCCGAAUCCAGGACACGCUGCCGUGUUGCGGGAAACACAGCUGAGUCCUGCCCCGGCGUCUUUGGGGGUCACUAAACACUUAACCCCGAGAAAGAUCACAGAACUGGGACUAGAGGAGGAAACGCCAGUCCUGUGGGAACAGCCAAGGCUGACAGAGGGAGAGAAGCGAUUGAGAUUUGUGGCCUUAAAAUGUAUGCUUUUAAAGAGCUUUAGUUUACUCCUCUCUUUUCAAAAUGAGAUGGACGUCUUAAGUUUUAUGGAAAAAAUGAAAAUUCUUAGAUUGACAACAUUUUCUUUUUGUGUGUCGGCUCUUC